UGGGGAAUAUUGCACAAUGGGCGAAAGCCUGAUGCAGCAACGCCGCGUGAGUGAUGAAGGUCUUCGGAUUGUAAAGCUCUGUCUUUUGGGACGAUAAUGACGGUACCAAAGGAGGAAGCCACGGCUAACUACGUGCCAGCAGCCGCGGUAAUACGUAGGUGGCGAGCGUUGUCCGGAUUUACUGGGCGUAAAGGGUGCGUAGGCGGAUGUUUAAGUGAGAUGUGAAAUACCCCGGGCUUAACUUGGGUGCUGCAUUUCAAACUGGAUAUCUAGAGUGCAGGAGAGGAGGAUGGAAUUCCUAGUGUAGCGGUGAAAUGCGUAGAGAUUAGGAAGAACACCAGUGGCGAAGGCGAUUCUCUGGACUGUAACUGACGCUGAGGCACGAAAGCGUGGGUAGCAAACAGGAUUAGAUACCCUGGUAGUCCACGCCGUAAACGAUGAGUACUAGGUGUAGGAGGUAUCGACCCCUUCUGUGCCGCAGUAAAACACAUUAAGUA
Molecule: ribosomal RNA, 497 nt
Filed under: uncultured bacterium
Lineage: Bacteria
Description: partial 16S ribosomal RNA
Rfam family: Bacterial small subunit ribosomal RNA
Source: RNAcentral